RNAcentral lists this ribosomal RNA (207 nucleotides) under uncultured bacterium. RNAcentral's name for it is "partial 16S ribosomal RNA". It matches the Rfam family "Bacterial small subunit ribosomal RNA", at positions 1294 to 1500 of the family's 1533-position model. The record is from RNAcentral.
CGGAUUGCAGGCUGCAACCCGCCUGCAUGAAGCCGGAAUCGCUAGUAAUCGCGGAUCAGAAUGCCGCGGUGAAUACGUUCCCGGGUCUUGUACACACCGCCCGUCACACCAUGGGAGUCGGGAAUGCCCGAAGUCAGUGGCCCAACCGGAAGGGGGGAGCUGCCGAAGGCAGGCCCGGUGACUGGGGUGAAGUCGUAACAAGGUACC